Molecule: long non-coding RNA, 1459 nt
Organism: Aedes aegypti (yellow fever mosquito)
Lineage: Eukaryota; Metazoa; Arthropoda; Insecta; Diptera; Culicidae
Exons: 2
Source: RefSeq, a predicted model, not a curated record
AUCCCCUUUACAAUUUUUUCCUAUGGAUGAACUACCCAUUGUUCUAUGUAGCAACGGUAGGAGCAACUAAUGGAGAAGCGACAUCCUAAUUAUAUGCACGUUGUUCAUACUAACCUACUAAAGCUACCCGUAAUGGUCAACAUGUAAUCCGAGUAAAACAGCACAGCUAGUUUCCAUUAAUUAUGCCACCCGUAUUUUUAUAUGCUCGCUGCGCAGAUUACCGCCACUCACAGAUGCUGCAAAGUGGAAAAGCUAAUUUAAAUGCUCGCUUCCAUACCAGAUUGCUAUCCUUAUUUUUUUUUUCUCGCACUCCAAUGUCUAAAUCUGUGAAACAGUCCGUAAAUCAUUAUCACGCAGCUUUUUCACCGGCGCUGAAGAAUCAGCGUUCCGUCGAAUGUUUCAAUUUGCGAAUAGCAACGGACCAAACGAGAAAAGUUUAACCUUUCCUCAAACGAAGUUUUUCGUUGUUUGUUUAUACGUUUUUUCCCGCAUCCUGUAAGCACCACACAGAGUUUUGAUUAGCCGAAAUCGUGAACUCAAUUCAUUAGCACCUAUGAACGUGAUUUUUUUAAUGGUUUCUUCGGAAGAAAAUGUUCUAAAAAUACAGCGCAAAUAUUCUUGGUAAAUGUGAGUUCGCAACUUAGACAUAGGCAGCGCUGUAAAAUUAAACUUUCUUAAAUGACGAUUCAGGGGUAUUGAAGUUAAAACUAUAAUGAGAUUUAUUGUUUCCUUCUAUUUUUCGGAUCAAUUUGGACAAAAAAAAAAAUGAAUGUUUUUCUCAUGUGAACCACAAAAUGUUUCGUAAAACGGUGUAUAAUUCACUGUGGCUACAUUUUGAGAUAUGGCCAAAACCCUUCAACCCUAUGCGCUAAUGGUGCUACUGAAUAAAGUUCACGAUUUCGGUCAAUCUUCAAACUCUGUGCACCCGUUCCCCCGUUCCGUAUUGCAUCACUGUGUCGUCAUCGGCACCAACCAACAACGGCAACGUGAACGCUUGGCCCCGGCUAGCUAGUGCCAGUAGGAGUAAUUCAUGCCCGGCUUAAUUACAUGUUAACGUUGUUUGGAACCAGUUUGUUUUCCUUCUGUUUUGCGUCGGUUUGGGGGGGUUUGCAGGAGGGGAGUUUCCUCUUCCGCUUUUCUAGUGCUCGGAACAUCCGGUUCUGGCGGAGGAUGAAGGAAAAAUAUAUGUUGGCUCUUCCGGCUAGCAAAGUGUGCACUGCGAAUCGGGUCACAUUAACGGAGCGAAGCAGCAGCCAUUUAUUUUCAUGCACAAUCUGAAGGAUUAUCUUGCACCCGUGGAAGUGCUCUGCUUGUUAGGAUUAAACGAGGACGUAGGUACGGGUUGAGCUCGGUGCCGCAGUACGGUUGCGAAAUAUUUUAAUUUGUUUUGCCCUCCGUAUCAACCACCGGCCGAUUCUGGUGUUGGUUCAGGUGGGAUAAAUAUCGAUAGGAGCAGAAU